GCGCUUGUGCUGGAAUAGGCAGACAGGCUUGGUUGAGGGCCAAGUGCCGCAAGGCGUGUGGGUUCGACUCCCACCAAGCGCA
Molecule: transfer RNA, 82 nt
Filed under: Chloroflexota bacterium
Lineage: Bacteria; Bacillati; Chloroflexota
Description: tRNA-Leu
Rfam family: tRNA
About the family: Transfer RNA (tRNA) molecules are approximately 80 nucleotides in length. Their secondary structure includes four short double-helical elements and three loops (D, anti-codon, and T loops). Further hydrogen bonds mediate the characteristic L-shaped molecular structure. tRNAs have two regions of fundamental functional importance: the anti-codon, which is responsible for specific mRNA codon recognition, and the 3' end, to which the tRNAs corresponding amino acid is attached (by aminoacyl-tRNA synthetases). tRNAs cope with the degeneracy of the genetic code in two manners: having more than one tRNA (with a specific anti-codon) for a particular amino acid; and 'wobble' base-pairing, i.e. permitting non-standard base-pairing at the 3rd anti-codon position.
Source: RNAcentral